CGGAGGGAUCAUUAAAGAGUUCUAUAACUCCCAAACCCAUGUGAACAUACCUAACGUUGCCUCGGCAGGUCGCACCUACCUUGUAGCACCCUACCCUGUAGGGCCUACCCGGGAGGUGCGGGUAAGCCUGCCGGCGGCCCACCAAACUCUGUUUGAUAUUGAAUUCUGAACCUAUAACUAAAUAAGUUAAAACUUUCAACAACGGAUCUCUUGGUUCUGGCAUCGAUGAAGAACGCAGCGAAAUGCGAUAAGUAAUGUGAAUUGCAGAAUUCAGUGAAUCAUCGAAUCUUUGAACGCAUAUUGCGCCCAUUAGUAUUCUAGUGGGCAGGACCGUUCGAGCGUCAUUUCAACCCUUAAGCCUUCGUUGCUUAGUGUUGGGAGCCUACGGCAACGUAGCUCCUCAAAGUUAGUGGCGGAGUUGGUUCACACUCUAGACGUAGUAAUUUUUUAUCUCGCCUAUUAGUUGGACUAAUCCCCUGCCGUAAAACCCCCAAUUUAUCAAGGUUGACCUCGAAUCGGUUCAGACAAACUCGCUAAAUUGAAGCAUCUUAGUCAGCGAAGGAAAAGAAACCAACAGGGAUUGCCCUAGUAACGGCGAGUGAAGCGGCAACAGCUCAAAUUUGAAAUCUGGCCCUCGGGUCCGA
This 644-nucleotide ribosomal RNA is filed under the name fungal endophyte. RNAcentral's name for it is "eukaryotic LSU rRNA". The stretch from base 191 to 344 matches the Rfam family "5.8S ribosomal RNA". The record is from RNAcentral. Lineage: Eukaryota; Fungi.